GACGUAGGGCGCAAGCGUUGUCCGGAUUUAUUGGGCGUAAAGAGCUCGUAGGCGGCUUGUUGCGUCGUCCGUGAAAACCCGUGGCUCAACUGCGGGCUUGCGGACGAUACGGGCAGGCUGGAGUUCGGUAGGGGAGACUGGAAUUCCUGGUGUAGCGGUGAAAUGCGCAGAUAUCAGGAGGAACACCGGUGGCGAAGGCGGGUCUCUGGGCCGAUACUGACGCUGAGGAGCGAAAGCGUGGGGAGCGAACAGG
RNAcentral lists this ribosomal RNA (253 nucleotides) under uncultured bacterium. RNAcentral's name for it is "partial 16S ribosomal RNA". It matches the Rfam family "Bacterial small subunit ribosomal RNA", at positions 524 to 776 of the family's 1533-position model. The record is from RNAcentral.